Molecule: ribosomal RNA, 305 nt
Filed under: uncultured bacterium
Lineage: Bacteria
Description: bacterial SSU rRNA
Rfam family: Bacterial small subunit ribosomal RNA
Source: RNAcentral
UUACCUACGGGGCGCAGCAGUGGGGAAUAUUGCGCAAUGGGGGCAACCCUGACGCAGCAACGCCGCGUGAUUGAAGAAGGCCUUCGGGUUGUAAAGAUCUUUAAUCGGGGACGAAUUUUGACGGUACCCGAAGAAUAAGCAUCGGCUAACUCCGUGCCAGCAGCCGCGGUAAUACGGAGGAUGCGAGCGUUAUCCGGAUUUAUUGGGUUUAAAGGGUGCGUAGGCGGAUUUUUAAGUCAGCGGUAAAAUGUCCGGGCUCAACCCGGGCCGGCCGUUGCAACUGGGGAUCUUGAGUGGGCGAGAAG